UACGAAGGGGGCUAGCGUUGUUCGGAAUUACUGGGCGUAAAGCGCACGUAGGCGGAUAUUUAAGUCAGGGGUGAAAUCCCAGAGCUCAACUCUGGAACUGCCUUUGAUACUGGGUAUCUCGAGUAUGGAAGAGGUGAGUGGAAUUCCGAGUGUAGAGGUGAAAUUCGUAGAUAUUCGGAGGAACACCAGUGGCGAAGGCGGCUCACUGGCCCGGUACUGACGCUGAGGUGCGAAAGCGUGGGGAGCAAACAGG
This 253-nucleotide ribosomal RNA is filed under the name uncultured bacterium. Its description in RNAcentral is "partial 16S ribosomal RNA". It matches the Rfam family "Bacterial small subunit ribosomal RNA", at positions 524 to 776 of the family's 1533-position model. The record is from RNAcentral.